RNAcentral lists this transfer RNA (84 nucleotides) under Patescibacteria group bacterium. RNAcentral's name for it is "tRNA-Leu". It matches the Rfam family "tRNA". Rfam says of the family: Transfer RNA (tRNA) molecules are approximately 80 nucleotides in length. RNAcentral also lists the same sequence under 1 other name. The record is from RNAcentral.
GCCAGGGUGUUGGAAUCGGUAGACAAGCACGACUCAAAAUCGUGUGGAGCUUGCUCCAUGCGGGUUCGACCCCCGCCCCUGGCA